Rosa rugosa (rugosa rose) is the source of this 736-nucleotide long non-coding RNA. RefSeq lists it as uncharacterized. Lineage: Eukaryota; Viridiplantae; Streptophyta; Magnoliopsida; Rosales; Rosaceae. The transcript has 3 exons. The record is from RefSeq and is a predicted model, not a curated record.
CCCACCUGGAACUCACCGGCCAGUGGCUGAUCGCCACCAAAGGGCUUACUCGAUCUUCUCCGUUGUCAUGCUAAAACAGAGCCAUAAGUCCAUAACAUCAUGUCAUUUUGGGAGGACGAUGAGGGCAUUUCGGUAAACAAAUUUCAAAAGCAUAAUAAUAAGAACCCUACACCGUCAAGUCCUGAACUCUGUAUCGCAAAACCUCUCGGUACUUGUUUCUGCAACUGAAUCACAUUUCCAAACAUGGUAAGCUUCUCUAUCUACAAUUUUCAAAUAUGCAUUAUGAAAUUCUUGUGCUCUCCAUAAAGAUUGGAACUUUUCGUCUAGUUGUUGUUUUACUCUGAACGAAACAGGGGAAGGGGACUGGAACCUUUGGCAAACUCUUUGGAGCCACACUCUCUGCAUGCGGUGCGGCCGUCGGAGCUUUCAUCUUCAGAAGAGUCGUUGCGCCUCUUGCGGCUACCCCGCCAGCCGUAUCAGAAAAUAUAACUGGAGCGUGAAGGCGAUUCGGAGAAAGACUACAGGUACUGGUAGAAUGAGGUACCUUCGUCAGUCAUGUCGCGGUUAGAUUCAAGUUCAACUUCAGAGAAGGUACUGAGGCAGCUCCAAGAAAGAAGAGGGGCUAUCUAUCAUGAGCAAAUCAUAAGCUUCUCAGCUUUGGCUAAAACUAGUACUUAGGAGGUCCAGAAUGACAAUGUUUACAUUUUCUGUUCAGUAUUCUGCAUAAUAGUUUGUA